GGCCCCCAACCGAGCGCCGCCGGCCCUGGGUGCCCCCUCACUUCCACUUUUCUCCCCGGAACACCUGCCUUCACGCGGCCCCUGGAGGUCCCCGGAGUGGAUGGGGGUGGGCUGCUACCCUCGCCGCCCAGAGCCGGGGAUGCCUGCCUGGGGCAUCUCCCAGCUGAACGGGAAGAGGGAUCACGCCCAGUUCUGGGAGCUGAGUACCAGCGUGGACAUGAUGUCGAGGAGGUGUCACCCUCAGAGGACGCAGCAUGUGCAAACUCACGUAGAGUUUGACCAGACAAGACCUGCUGGUGAUUUCCCAGGAUCUUCCUUUCUUAAGACACAGGCUUCUUCCUUAAUGGAAACUAGGAGCUUUUGGGCAGGAACUUCUAAAUUCCUGGUGGCCGCACAUCUAACUGUAACUACAGCACUGCCACUCCUGCCUGCUGCAGAUGCUGCUGUGUCCUCUGCGGGGAACACCUCUGAUGGUGUCGGGAGUCUGCUCUCUCAAUCCUCUGGUCUUCAGCCUCUUCCUCCCUACUGCAGCCCUGAAGAUAGCUGAGGACAUCCUCUUCUGGUUUCCUUGUCACAGUUUCCUGUUUUUCCCUAACCUUCCUUUUAGUGCCUUUUCCAUGUCUUUACUGCCUCAUUUUCCUUUCAAUUUUGAAACGCCUUGGGAGUCUAUCCUAGGUAUCCCUCUUCACUUUUCACCACACUCUAUCUCAAAAGAUUUCAAUCCAUUCUUGUGGCUUAAUUUGCCAUCUAUCAAUAUAUGCUGAUAGCUUUUUAAAUAAUUUUGUAUUUAUGUCUAUAAAAAUGAAACAUGGUCAUGUAACAAAUCAAAAUAUUAAAGUUUAUGAAGAAAAUUCUGUGCUCUCUUCCUUACUCAUACAUAGCCCCACACAUGGGAAGUGCCCUCUUUUGACCAUUGCUAUCCUUAUUUCUGUUAUCUUCAUAACUCCAGGUAGUAG
Molecule: long non-coding RNA, 956 nt
Filed under: Aotus nancymaae (Ma's night monkey)
Lineage: Eukaryota; Metazoa; Chordata; Mammalia; Primates; Aotidae
Description: lncRNA (ENSANAG00000039141.1)
Source: RNAcentral